This 454-nucleotide ribosomal RNA is filed under the name uncultured Porphyromonadaceae bacterium. RNAcentral describes it as "partial 16S ribosomal RNA". It matches the Rfam family "Bacterial small subunit ribosomal RNA", at positions 341 to 792 of the family's 1533-position model. The record is from RNAcentral. Lineage: Bacteria; Pseudomonadati; Bacteroidota; Bacteroidia; Bacteroidales; Porphyromonadaceae.
ACGGAAGGCAGCAGUGAGGAAUAUUGGACAAUGGUCGGAAGACUGAUCCAGCCAUGCCGCGUGAAGGAGUAAUGUCCUAUGGAUUGUAAACUUCUUUUGUACGGGAGCAAUAAGGUGUAUGCAUACACCGAUGAGAGUACCGUACGAAUAAGCAUCGGCUAACUCCGUGCCAGCAGCCGCAGUAAUACGGAGGAUGCGAGCGUUAUCCGGAUUUAUUGGGUUUAAAGGGUGCGUGGGCGGAAUGACAAGUCAGCGGUGAAACGCAAGGGCUCAACCCUUGACCUGCCGUUGAAACUGCCAAUCUGGAAUACGGAUGCUGUGGGAGGAAUGUGUGGUGUAGCGGUGAAAUGCAUAGAUAUCACACAGAACACCGAUUGCGAAGGCAUCUCACAAAUCCGUCAUUGACGCUGGGGCACGAAAGUGUGGGGAUCAAACAGGAUUAGAUACCCUGGUA